UAUAAUAGUUGUGGGUGCUUAAAGAAUUAGGCUGAGAUAGUUUCUGAUACUGAAACGGACCACACUUGAUCUAGGUAAUGCUAGCGUAAGGAUUUUUUUAAUAUACAAA
This 109-nucleotide non-coding RNA is filed under the name Firmicutes bacterium CAG:631. RNAcentral's name for it is "TPP riboswitch aptamer (THI element)". It matches the Rfam family "TPP riboswitch aptamer (THI element)". Rfam says of the family: Vitamin B(1) in its active form thiamin pyrophosphate (TPP) is an essential coenzyme that is synthesised by coupling of pyrimidine and thiazole moieties in bacteria. The previously detected thiamin-regulatory element, thi box was extended, resulting in a new, highly conserved RNA secondary structure, the THI element, which is widely distributed in eubacteria and also occurs in some archaea. Lineage: Bacteria; Bacillati; Bacillota. RNAcentral also lists the same sequence under 1 other name. The record is from Rfam by way of RNAcentral.